This 660-nucleotide ribosomal RNA is filed under the name Bacillus cereus. RNAcentral describes it as "bacterial SSU rRNA". It matches the Rfam family "Bacterial small subunit ribosomal RNA", at positions 60 to 699 of the family's 1533-position model. Lineage: Bacteria; Bacillati; Bacillota; Bacilli; Caryophanales; Bacillaceae. The record is from RNAcentral.
AGUCGAGCGAAUGGAUUAAGAGCUUGCUCUUAUGAAGUUAGCGGCGGACGGGUGAGUAACACGUGGGUAACCUGCCCAUAAGACUGGGAUAACUCCGGGAAACCGGGGCUAAUACCGGAUAACAUUUUGAACCGCAUGGUUCGAAAUUGAAAGGCGGCUUCGGCUGUCACUUAUGGAUGGACCCGCGUCGCAUUAGCUAGUUGGUGAGGUAACGGCUCACCAAGGCAACGAUGCGUAGCCGACCUGAGAGGGUGAUCGGCCACACUGGGACUGAGACACGGCCCAGACUCCUACGGGAGGCAGCAGUAGGGAAUCUUCCGCAAUGGACGAAAGUCUGACGGAGCAACGCCGCGUGAGUGAUGAAGGCUUUCGGGUCGUAAAACUCUGUUGUUAGGGAAGAACAAGUGCUAGUUGAAUAACCUGGCACCUUGACGGUACCUAACCAGAAAGCCACGGCUAACUACGUGCCAGCAGCCGCGGUAAUACAUAGGUGGCAAGCGUUAUCCGGAAUUAUUGGGCGUAAAGCGCGCCCACGUGGUUUCUUAAGUCUCAUGUGAAAGCCCACGGCUCAACCGUGGAAGGGCAUUGGAAACUGGGAGACAUGAGUGCACAAAACAACAAUGGAAUUCCAUAUGUGUACCGUUAAAUGCGUACACAUAU